AGUGAACGCUGGCGGUAUGCCUAACACAUGCAAGUCGAACGGCAGCACAGUAAGAGCUUGCUCUUACGGGUGGCGAGUGGCGGACGGGUGAGGAAUACAUCGGAAUCUACUUUUUCGUGGGGGAUAACGUAGGGAAACUUACGCUAAUACCGCAUACGACCUACGGGUGAAAGCAGGGGAUCUUCGGACCUUGCGCGAUUGAAUGAGCCGAUGUGGGAUUAGCUAGUUGGCGGGGUAAAGGCCCACCAAGGCGACGAUCCGUAGCUGGUCUGAGAGGAUGAUAAGCCACACUGGAACUGAGACACGGUCCAGACUCCUACGGGAGGCAGCAGUGGGGAAUAUUGGACAAUGGGCGCAAGCCUGAUCCAGCCAUACCGCGUGGGUGAAGAAGGCCUUCGGGUUGUAAAGACCUUUUGUUGGGAAAGAAAAGCAGCAGGUUAAUACCCCGCUGUUCUGACGGUACCCAAAGAAUAAGCACCGGCUAACUUCGUG
RNAcentral lists this ribosomal RNA (492 nucleotides) under uncultured bacterium. RNAcentral's name for it is "partial 16S ribosomal RNA". It matches the Rfam family "Bacterial small subunit ribosomal RNA", at positions 29 to 507 of the family's 1533-position model. The record is from RNAcentral.